GAUGAACGCUAGCUACAGGCUUAACACAUGCAAGUCGAGGGGUAACAAGAGAAAAGCUUGCUUUUCUUGUUGACGACCGGCGCACGGGUGAGUAACGCGUAUCCAACCUGCCUAUAACUAGGGAAUAACCUUGCGAAAGUAAGACUAAUACCCUAUGAUUUCCUUUGAUGACAUCAGAUUAGGAAUAAAGAUUUAUCGGUUAUAGAUGGGGAUGCGUCUGAUUAGCUUGUUGGCGGGGUAACGGCCCACCAAGGCAACGAUCAGUAGGGGUUCUGAGAGGAAGGUCCCCCACAUUGAAACUGAGACACGGUCCAGACUCCUACGGGAGGCAGCAGUGAGGAAUAUUGGUCAAUGGGCGGAAGCCUGAACCAGCCAAGUAGCGUGCAGGAUGACGGCCCUAUGGGUUGUAAACUGCCUUUAUACAGGAAUAAAGUUAGCCACGUGUGGUUAUUUGUAGGUACUGUAUGAAUAAGGACCGGCUAAUUCCGUGCCAGCAGCCGCAGUAA
This 506-nucleotide ribosomal RNA is filed under the name uncultured bacterium. Its description in RNAcentral is "partial 16S ribosomal RNA". It matches the Rfam family "Bacterial small subunit ribosomal RNA", at positions 28 to 523 of the family's 1533-position model. The record is from RNAcentral.